RNAcentral lists this ribosomal RNA (529 nucleotides) under Porphyromonas sp. Its description in RNAcentral is "partial 23S ribosomal RNA". It matches the Rfam family "Bacterial large subunit ribosomal RNA", at positions 399 to 1112 of the family's 2925-position model. The record is from RNAcentral. Lineage: Bacteria; Pseudomonadati; Bacteroidota; Bacteroidia; Bacteroidales; Porphyromonadaceae.
AGCAGUAUCCAGAGUACUGUCAGACACGUGGACCCUGGCAGGAAGACGGGGGGACCACCCCCCAAGGCUAAAUACUACUCAGUGACCGAUAGCGAUUAGUACUGUGAAGGAAAGGUGAAAAGGACNNNNNNNNNNAACCGGGUGACCUAUCCAUGUCCAGGAUGAAGCUAAAGUAAAAUUUGGUGGAGGUCCGAACGCACAUCCGUUGAAAAGGGUGGCGAUGAGGUGUGGAUAGCGGAGAAAUUCCAAUCGAACCCGGAGAUAGCUGGUUCUCCUCGAAAUAGCUUUAGGGCUAGCCUCAUGGAGAGUCUAACGCAGGUAGAGCACUGAAUUCUUGAGGGGGCGUCAAAGUCUACCAAUAGAUAUCAAACUCCGAAUGGCGUAUAGAUAUACAUGGGAGUCAGACUGCGGGAUAUAAAUUCCGUAGUCAAAAGGGAAACAGCCCAGAUCUACAGCUAAGGUCCCAAAGUACAUGUUAAGUGGUAAAGGAUGUGGGAUUUCAUAGACAACUAGGAUGUUGGCUUAGAAG